This is a long non-coding RNA of Musa acuminata AAA Group (dessert banana), 976 nucleotides long. RefSeq lists it as uncharacterized. The record is from RefSeq and is a predicted model, not a curated record. NCBI's taxonomy places the organism in Eukaryota, Viridiplantae, Streptophyta, Magnoliopsida, Zingiberales, Musaceae. The transcript has 3 exons.
GCGACCUGUAUGCAUUUGAUGCAGGUUCGUGAUAGUUACUCAAAAGACCAAUCCACGUUCUGCCAUAUUGCCUUCCACCCGUUCGACGAAAUACCGCCAUCUCCGAGGGCGUCGCCACCGGCCUGCCCGACCAACUCACCGUCGCCAUGACCGCCAGUUGAGCCGACUACGCCUAGGAGAAGCCAUGAAUUGGAUCUUGGUUGGCCGCAUUUUCUAGAUGAAGUUACUGGUCAUAGCCAAAUACUUAUCACUAUAUGUACGAUGAACUUCGUUACACAGUUUCUAGCUACAGAGAAAACGGCGCAUUUGGGGCUGAUGGCAAAUUGAAGCAAACUGUUUGUCUUAAACCAGAAUUGGAUACUUCUAUUUUUGCAUCGGCAUAUAUUACUUAAGUGAUUCUGCAAGAUGCUCAUUAUACUCUUGGUUGUUCCGCCUCAAUGAGGCUCCUAGGUUAGCCGAUUGUGAGCCUGAUGAGUUCGAGAAGCUCUGCACAAAGUGUGAGGGAGAGGUGGAGGACUCGUUGUGAACAAAAUUCUCUUGCAUGGCUUGACUGAGAUGGGUCUUCGAUCGUCUGCCCAGAAUAAUGUGAUACGUUAUGAAGAUGGUUCUCCAUAUCAAUGAAAAGCAAUUUACAAUUUAGGUUCCAGAAAGAAACUUGCAUUCUUAAUAUGUAGGAUCUUUUUCUUGGAUUCAUAUAUUACAUUUCAAAAUUCUAAUGUUAGAACCAUCAGAAGAUUCAAAGGACCCUCGUUGACAUGGCAGUUGCAGAUGCUAUAUGGAUAUUAGAGACGGUCUUAAUAUUCAUGUGGACCAAUCCAAUUCUGGGAAACUGAUAUCAUUACAUUUAUAUUUUCGGUCUCAGGUGUAUCAGCUUUAUGCUUCAUCUUAUUAGCAUUAGCUUGUCUCUGACUGAAGUUUACAGUUUUUCCUGCUCUAACUAUUAGAACAUUUGGUGCAUAAUAUUUCAACUUUUGGU